GCAGACCCUCAGAGGCUGGGACAAGAGGCCACAUGCUCCAAAGGCCUGGAGCUUCUCCGGGUCCUGCAUAGCCCAGCUCCGCUCCAGGGCCUCUGGUGUCCCGCACCCUCAACGGGACGGCAGGACCCGAUGAGCCUGUGCCAGACAAAAUGAGCAGGUCCGUCAGGAAGAUUCCAAGUGGUGAAACGGAACUAUGCCCAGGGUCAGCGAAGAGCUUUCCUGAUGUUGCUCAAUAGAUUAAGAAACAGACCCCCGAUCUGGACAUAUCCAACGGAAGCCCAAGAGCCAGGGUGUGGGGUGCCAGCAUCCUGCAAACAGUGUGCUGAGGGAUCCGAAAAGACGUCUCUCCUAAAUCCCUGUGCAAAGGAAAUCCUGGUAUCUGGGAACACAUUGGCAAGAAGUUAAAGGAGCAAGAGGCUGUCAAAGGGAAAGAGCAGUUCCUUCACCUCGAGGCCCUCCGCACCGGCCCCAGGGCCCCAGGAGGGCACAUGGCAUCAAGGGACCAGGCUCCGUGUGUGACCAGAGAACUGGCUGGAUUCCCCUCCUCCACUCUCAAGAAUACCACCAGACAUCUCCCCCUCAGCUCAGUGACAAGCUGAGAAGCAGCCAGACCUCCUCAGACCCCAACUACGGACCACAGAAAGCUUGGCCCUCAUCCCCAGAGCUGCCACCGAAGGGACUGACCGCGCCUGGGGAGGAGGACCUCUGACUGCUGUUUUCACCGGAGCACCUCCCGAUGUUCACACUUCGGUAGGAGAAUAAUAGCAGCCUUUGAUUUAAUUACAGAAGAGCUUUGUUCUUCCAGUACAAGAAACCCUCAGCAAUAGGGCCUGGCCAGAAAAUGCACCAACCGCUCUGUCGAGAGCUGAGCGCUGCAGCACUGAGCCACGACUGAAGGGCAGCGUCUCAGGACUCCCCAAUACCACCCACUUUCUGUCCCUCAUUGCUGUGUAAGUGGGGUGAUUCUCUUGGCUCCUGCCCCUGAAAGGUAAGUGGAUCAUGUAGACUGAGCUGGAUCAAGCCUGGGGUGAAAUCUUGAGGUGCAACAGACACCUGGACCCUCAGGGGUCACACUUGGAGAAACUGAGCCGCUACGGGACAUACAGAAAACAACCCAGCAGGUACAGAAUUUUAUGACUUGGUUGAGAACCCUUGCUAAGGAUUCUGGGGCAGUAUGUAAUUUGUCAAUUCAUGUAAAUGGAUGCAUAUAUUGUUAAGCAGUGUAUUUUGCCUAUUAGCUUUGUCCAUAUGUACCCCUUUAUCCCUGGAAAUCCUUAGGAAAAACUUGGUACACUCUGCAGGAAAAUUUCCCUCCUUGGAGUCCAUUUCCUUCUCUGCACUUUGUAUAUAACUCUGAAGGAGAAAGUGGCAAAAAUUUAUUGUUCUUUCACAUUUUUAUCAUUGACCUUACCCAGAACCACUUCUGAAAUGUGAACAGUUCCUCGUGUUAAAGGAGAAUUUGGGUGUAAGAUGAUAUUAAAUACACGCUGGAACCCAGGUUUUCCUAAGUCUCACCAGUGUUUGGAAGAGGUACUCUGAAGGGGAAUUGCUUGAUUUUCAAAGGCUCUUUGCUGCUACCUGCUAGCACAGACACGUGUGUGUGAAGUAGCCUGGGCCAGCAACAGGACAGAGGGACACCCACCCCCAAGCAUCCCCACCCACGCUGCGGCAAUCUAUGGGCUGCUCAGAAGGACUUCACUGCCAACAUUGAGUGCCUGCUAUGUGCCAAGACCCUUGGAUGGAUGUUUCGUGCCCGUCAUCCUUGAUACUCACCUAACACGAUGAGACUGGAUUUAAUCUUGCCGGAUAUUUGAGGAGAAUCAGAGCAGAAACCUGGGGACACAAGCUGCCUGGACUGAGAGUCACGUGUUCACCCACACACCAAUCACUGUGGCUAAGGGUAUCCAGGGAUCUGAUUGGCCAGGCCUGGGCCACAGGCUGCACGUCGGUCGGGAGGAUGCAACCCACCUGCAGCGCCGUGGACAGAGCCAGAAAGCGCUGUACCACAGGAGGACGUGCAGCGUGAGGGGAUGUUGGCAGAAAAAGGAGAAAAAUCCACUCCCGGGUUCGUCACACGGUUGCACGACCACCGCCAGGUUUCCUCAGUUUGAACACGGUGUCAGUCGGGCGGUGGAUAUAGGUAGUUCCCAGCCGGUGGAGCCAUGGGGCUGGGCUGGGAAUUCUGCAGAGUGUGGGACGUGGCCCACCACUAACUGAAUCUCCCGGGAUGCUUGCUAAAAGUCUGGGUUCUUGGGUCCCCCACCCAAGACCUACCCCUCCAGAAACUGGGGCUGGAUUCCAAACAGCAUUUUAAAAUAAGCUCUCAGAAGAUUCUAAUGAACAGAGAAGUUUGAGAACAGCUGAUGCGCUAGGCUGGGUCCUGCGGGUGAUGGAGAGGAGCCCAGGAGAACCACUAGCCUUUACAGCCGCUGCAGGAAAAUCAGGCCACACCCUCGGAUGCCCCUCUACCAGAUAAUGGGUAUGCCAAGGAAAAAAGAGAGAAUCCCAGAGCUGUUUAUGGAGCCUUCACUUUAACCACCUGACUCAGCUAAGUCUAUACCUAAACACUUGAGGACAGCAGGUUUUGAUCUGAUUAGUUGACCUGUCUGGCAGAAUUAAGCCAUCAGUAUAGUUACCAUGCCUCUUUAGUGAUCUCAUCCUCCUGCCAUUCAAAAAGUAGGAACUGAGCACCCAGAUCCUGUGGUAGGGUUUGCAAAGAUGUAGAAGUCGUGGUCUCUGCCCUCAAAGAUCCUGUAUUUUGGACAAAGCCAGAUAUUCAGAUGGUAUUACGAACACAGUGUUCAUUUGAUCAGUUACUUCAGUUCUCUGGGGUUCAGGUUACUCAUCUGGGAACUGGGACAUCCCAUCUUCUAGCACCAAUAUUCUGCGUGCUUCCACAAUCCCACCCCUCUGCCUCACACUGUCCCUCUCCUCCCCAAAACAAACCCCGUCCUCCAAAUGCACACUUACAUAGUCACUAUGAUCGAUAGAUUUUAUCCUGAUGCCCACUUCUCAAGCACUGCCAUUUGUACACUAGCUCACUUAUUUCUUACAACGCUAUUGAGAUUGUUAUUUUAAUCCCCACUUUCUAGAUAGUGACAUGGAGACUCAAGGAGGGUUUUGCCAAAGGUCCUAAAAAAUGGGAUCAAGGCUGAGCCCAGGUCAGUGGGGCCCUCAAGUGUGUGCCCUUCCAUUGAUUGCCACAGCCAGCCUCAGCUUCCUUUCCUGUCCCCUGCCUGUCUUCUGCAGGGACUCCCCUAUCCUUCCCCUUGCAUUUUCUAAAUCUUGUCCAUCUAUCAAGGGCCAGCUGGAAACCCUCUGACAUCUGCCAGUGCUCCCAGGAUGCGAUGUCUCUGAGGACCUGAACCACCGCCUUUUAUGGACUGCGCACAAGCACACCUGGACCAUCUGAGCACGUCUUGCCCCCAAGAAGGACACUUGGCUGAGGAGUAAAGUAGUGAGAGUUGUGCCUCCCUCACUGCCCUCAGACCUGCUGUGAACAUUAUUUUUAAAGCCAACAGUGAAGCCCUGCCCUGCCACCGGACCACCUUGCCCUUCGUACACGCAGAUGCCGCUGCUCCGGGCCAGCCUGCCUCCCUCCCCGCAGGCUUGGCGAAGGAAGCCACUGGGAGGACUGCGAGCCUGGUCUCCGUGGACCCUCCAUGCGCCGCCACGUUCCAGAGCGCAGUGCUGAAAGGGACGCAAACGGAGGAUUCUGCAAAAUUCUGCCCAGCAAGCUGUGAAGCCAGCAGAGUUUACUCUCUCAGCCAGCUAGGAAGGUAAAGACCCAAUUUGUUCCAGUCGACAAACAUCUGGAAGCAGAAUGAGCCAUCUGCCAGGCCAAAGGCCACCCCCAAGCCGUAUUUCUAAUGGUUCCUUGUCUGUGCUGUUUUUGCACACGCUCUCUGAAGCCAGGCCAGGUGGUGAUUACUGACACUCCGUGCUUUAUAAUUCUGUUAGCUCACAGGGAAAAAAAGGAGAGCUUCCCAGUUCAUUUCUUGGAGUCAGUGUAACCCUGGUACCAACUCCUGCAAAUACCUUGUCUCCCUUGGUCUGUCCACACACACAAGACCAUCAUUUAUACUAGUGCACAAAUUCUAAAUAAAAUACUAGCAAAAGGAUAUGGAGCAACAGGCAAAAUUGGUGCAAAGGGAUCUCAAGCUAAGGCCCCAUGUACAACCCCUUCCUUUUGCAGUGCACCCCAUGCCCUCGUUGGCUAAAGGUCUAGGGUGGGGAGAUCCUGCCAUUAUUAACCUUAAGAGGGGAUGGACCGGCCUGCUGGGCUUGUGGGGGAUGAGCAAGGACAGAGAACUGAGAAUGAGGGAAGGAAGCCUCUCCAGGGACAGACGGCCUCCACGGUUCACCCUCUGUCCAUGUGCUGGGCCACAUGAACACCACUGCCUGCCUCCCCUCCCCACCCCUGUCCAAGGCUGGGAGGGGGAGAGAAGUCCCGUAGGUACAUGAAGAUCUAAUCCAAACAGAAACACAACCCACUGUUCUGGUUGAGGAGCCUCCAUACCAGGACACAGCAGUUCUUCCCAAAUUAAUUUCUAAAGGUGUUGACUGACAGCAGCCCAAACGAGGAGGGGUGGUAGCGGAUGGCGGCAGUGGUGGUACCGGACCUUGGCAAAAAUGAGACUUAAAGACAAGGUUCUCAAGUUCAGCUGGACGACACUUGAAAAAUAAGAGUAGAGACUUACGCUAUCUUAUAUGACAAUGUGUAGUUUUAAGAUUGUAAUCGUAGUUACGCAGUGUUAGCAGUCAGAAGCAGGGGGAAGACCCAAGAUCCACAGGGGAGGAGACAGCCAGGCGAAGACAGAGGCCCCAGAGCGCCUGCAGCCGCCAACGGCUGGAAGAGGUACUUACGGACCCUGCACCUGCCCCUCCGAGCCACUUGAUCUGACUCAGGCCCCUGGACACCUGGCGGGACUGCCACGUGGGGCCCGGCUCACCCUUAGGAGAAACCAGUUCUGCUAUUUAAUAAACACUGAGUUAGCCUAAGACGCUGCAUUGGAGACAAAUGUGGUAUAAAUUAUAUCAGUUUUAUCCCUGGGUAAAAUGCCUAGAAUUGUUCCUCUUAGUCACUCAGGGGCCAGACCACAAACAGAAGGCCCGGCUUUCUUCUGACUAGUAUUUCUCAGGUGUGAUCACCGUGCUGCCUGAAAGCCUGAAGUGCAGAAUCCAGAGCCCACGCCCAGAUUUUCUGAACCGGAAUCUCACGGAGGGGGCCCGGGAAUGUAUGGUUUGGGAAAUUUCCUCAUUUGGUUUUUACUCACACUCGAGAUUGAAAACUGGUGCACCAACGUGCGUGUGACCUCCCUUUCUGCUCUAACGCACUUGGCCUAGAUUGUAUUCUUGACUCUGUUACUGCCAAUUGACUGAGCUUCCAACAUCCCAUCUUUAAGAGGGAGAAAAAAUCUCCUCCGCUGCUGGGUGUUGGGCUAACAUUCUCGAAUCCUGAGAUCGGAAGGACUCAAUACCACAGCACUGUUGUUUACCAAUCAACCUUCAUCUGUGCCGGGCCCGCCCCGGCAUUUUCCUUCGGUGCUGCAGGAAAAUGCACCAGGCGGGAAGGGCCCAGAUGCCGCGGAGAUCACCGCUUCCCUCUCUCCCCACGUGCAGGGGCAGGUGAAAAUGAGGAGCUGCAAAGGCUGAUACCUUUCUUCCCCAUUUUGCAAUACUCUAAAUCAGAUCGCAGACGGCCCCCAGGCCCAACGGAGCCCCGGGUGUCUGGAGCUGUUCAGUCACUGGAGGCCCCACAGCCAGGCUCUGAAACCAGUUACUGGUGGACAGAGCCAGUCCCCGUCCCCACCACUCAGGGGCCGCCGUGCAAGCAAGUAACAUGGCUGGGUGCUUGCUCAGUCCAUGGUACAGGUGCUGCCAACUUACCAUGGCUCAAUUUAAGAUUUUUCCACUUUAGGGUGGUGCAAAAGCCACAUGUAUUUAAUACAAAUCAUACUUGGAAAUUUUGAAUUUGGAUCUUUCCCCGGGCAGGGCUAUCCUCUGUCGUGAUGCCUGGUGGCAGCAGUGAGCAGCAGCUUCCAGACAGCCACACGAUCUUUUCUGGGAGGCUUGAGGAAACUCAUUUCAAGAUUUUUAUGUUUAUGCGAAAAACUUUACUCCUGUCAUAUACACAAGCAAGCCCAGUUGCCAUCUGCACUUUACUGAAGGUGAUUCAGACCAAGAGUGAAUUAAGUACCUACUCGAGGCCUUUGCGACCCUCCCUCCUUCCGUCGGCAGUUAGCGCUAGAAUCCUACACCCUCAGAGAAAGGGACCUCAGGAGCUGCUGGGCCCAAUCUCCCCAAAUUCCAGAUGGAGAAAAAGAGCUUUGGCUUUUGUCAUUAUUCCUUGUCAUGAGAUGCAACAAAUUAGUCCCUUUCUGUCAAAGACUUCACCCCCAUAUGCUAUCACGGCGGCCCCUAAACAAUUAUGUCUAGGUCAUCUAAAGAAUAUUAUUGGUAGCUUACGCCCAGGGAAGAAUCUCCCUAGGAGGCCAGGGGGGAUUUUGGCCAACGCUCCCCUACCCUUCAGCUGUGUUGGAGGCAGGAGAAUGGGGGCUGCCCCUGGGUUCCCCUGAGGAGCAGGAGGAAGAGGGUGUGUCCCGGAAGCCCUCUGCCCAGCCGGGCUGGCUGUGGUGUAGGGGAAGGGACGCUGUGGGGUCUGCCCUGGGGGGAGGGUGGCUUUCUCAGCCCCCCAGGGCAGACUGGAGGCGUCCUUGACUCCGAAUGGGGGCUCAGGACCCAGCCUGUAGGCCGGAGUGCCAUCCCGUAGGAAUACACAGCUCUUCCCCUCUGUCUGUCUCCUCCAGCUCCAUCUAGAAUUGUGAGAAAGAGCAGGAGACAUGGGGUGAGCCCCCAGCGGGUGCCUCAGAGGGAGGCUUCGGUGGGAGUGACUGCCUUUGCACUCCACUUUGGGGCCCUGCGCCGUGGUCCUGGCACCCGCCACCGGGCAGGAAUGCACCAGGCUUCAAAGGAGGCCCUAAAGCAGAGUGUUAAGCAGAUUGACGGAAGCUACUAAAGAACUCAGCCUGGAGCAAUCAGCAACUUUCCUCAGACUGCUGAGAGCCCAGCAAGCAGAGAAGGGAUGAAAGUCUCCACUAACCCGGAGGGAAACAGAAACACCCAAGAGUGGAUUCUAUAGACAGUAAUAUGACCCAGUUCAUAGAAAAAUUAUAUUACCAUUUGAAGUCAUUGAAGCUGUUUCCAGCUGUGUCGGGAGAGAGACUGCUGCCCCCAGGGAAGAAUGACCUAAUAUGGUAAAAGUGAAUGUAAUAUCAAACAUGUUAUCCUGGAACAAAAUAAAUAGAAUAA
This is a non-coding RNA of Manis javanica (Malayan pangolin), 7311 nucleotides long. The record is from RefSeq and is a predicted model, not a curated record. Lineage: Eukaryota; Metazoa; Chordata; Mammalia; Pholidota; Manidae.